CCCUUAGAUGUUCUGGGCUGCACGCGCGCUACACUGAUGUAUUCAACAAGUGUUACCUUGACCGAGAGGCCUAGGAAAUCUUUUAAAAGUGCAUCGUGAUAGGAAUAGAUUAUUGCAAUUUUUAAUCUUGAACGAGGAAUUCCUAGUAAACGCAGAUCAUCAAUCUGCAUUGAUUACGUCCCUGCCCUUUGUACACACCGCCCGUCGCACCUACCGAUUGAAUGGUCCGGUGAAGCCUCGGGAUUGUAGCAAUCUACCUUUAUUGGUGGUUUGUUGCAAGAACUUGUCUAAACCUUAUCAUUUAGAGGAAGGUGAAGUCGUAACA
Molecule: ribosomal RNA, 325 nt
Filed under: uncultured eukaryote
Lineage: Eukaryota
Description: partial 18S ribosomal RNA
Rfam family: Eukaryotic small subunit ribosomal RNA
Source: RNAcentral